CAAAAAAGGAUGCAAGAAGACGGAGCUGCAGCAGAACAUCCUGUGAGCGGCUUGAAUUUUAUACACUCUGAUUAGGAAAAUGGGCAAUGAGAGAAGGCAAAGGUCGCCAGGCUGGGAAUCGAACCUGCGACGGCCGCAUCGAGGACUAAGGUCUCCAUAUAUACGGGUAGCACUUAACCCCUGCGCCACCACAGCAGGUAAAAAGUUUUGAUGCCACUUCAUGAAGGUUUCCUGUUGCCUUUUUUUUUUUUUUUUAAUUCAUAGCUCGUUCAAAAACCCAAAUCAGAUCAAUAUGCCAGCAAAACACUGAAAUCCCCCUUUUCGUUAGCAGCAGCAUGUUGUAAUUUGUCUCCACCCAUCAACCAUCUGUCAGCUUUCAUGUAUGACUCACACAUGCAGAUUAUGGAAAUACAGACUAAUCACAUCCACGGAGAAGCAGCUUAAUUUAAAAAAUACGACUCAAAUCUUUGAAAGCAAGAUUUCUCAUUUCAACAGAAAGUCUCUGGAUUUUUAUGCACAAGAGCUAAAAAAAAAAUAUAUUAAUAAAGUGCAACUUGCAGGGAGAUUUCGGAAAAGAAAUACCUCGAACUGAAGGUUGAGACUGGGGUGUCCAAAGAGCGGCCCAGAGGCCAUUUGUGGCCCUUGGGCUAAUUUUAUGUGGCCCACAAGUGCAAUUAAGAAAUGAUACAAAUGCAGAUGGAGACUUUUUGUUACCAACAUGAUUUUCCUGAACAGGGAAAUACAAAGUACAACACAAACUAUUUAGUUUUAAUAAAAAGGUUAAACCAAGUUUAUCCACAGACUUCUUAUGAAAAGCUGCGUCCAAUUCUUUCUUAAAUUUGGCUAAAUAUAGCGAAAGUUUUAAAAGGAAGUAAAUCUUUUUAUUAUGACUGAAAAUAAAUAAAACAAUUUAAAAGAAACUGAAAACAUAAUGUCUUUCUGUCAAUCCAGCAAACAUGCAAACUUAAAGUAUUAAUAAGUAGUAAAGUUCUGCAAAAAAUCUCAGAAAUUUGCUAAAAAAAUAAAUUAAAUUUUUAGAUUAAUAUCAGAAUUCUUCCACAAUAAACUUUAAAAUUUCUUAAUUUCAAAUGUCAAAAAUGUUCUAGAAAAUGUCAGAGUUUUUCAGAGAUUAAUCACAAAAUUUCAGAGUUUUUGGCAGAAAUGUAAUCCUUUUAUUUUCUUUAUUCCUGUCGUAAAAAUUGCUUCUGUGCUUUUGAUUGCAACAAAUAUCUGGUUACUUUAUUUGCUCAAUCUUAGCUUCCCUUUUUGGACCGCUCCUACUUUUGAGUCCACAAUUUUGGCCCACUUGGAAAAACGUUUGUACCCCUCGGGUUUAAGAAGAACAAAAAUCACUGGGAGCAAAUUAAGACCCAACAGGAGUUUUUAUUUCUUUACAAAACAGAAGUGCAGCCUCAUACAGAAACAGAAGGCAGGGAGGUAAAUCUACUCCUCGGGUUUUAACGUGACGACUUGCGACCACUGCACUGAAGCUCUGUUCACACACUGACACACAGUCUGCACAUCACCGCCACUGUAAAAAACAGCAGAUUAAAGCAACAGCUGAGAGAUUACCGCAUCACACAGUUAUGUAAGCAAAUAAAUCACAACCGCAGAAAAAACAAAACAUAAAAAAGUAAGUUUUUCAUCUUCCGCAGGCUCAGAACUGCAACAUAAAAACUGAGUGUUUUACUCUGAAAGCCCAUUAAAAGUUAUUAAAAUAACAUAUUUAGUUAUAAUUUUACGUAAUGUUUAACAGCUGCUAUGCAAAAUGUAUUUUUAACCUCAUAGAAAAUGUUUGCUAAACAGUAAAAGAUUACCUUUAAACUUUGUUUUUCUUAAAGAAGCUUAAAAGUAAUCUUUAAAGCUAUAACAAUUUUUAAAGAGACUUAGAGCUUUAAAUAAUUCUGUAAAAAAAUAAAACAGCUUUGCAAUUUUUUAUCCUUAGCGUCUGACAUUUAUUUGCUUGUUUUUAACAUAACAGUGUUUAGACCAAUUACAUUUCCUGUUUUGCAGAAAGUAGCUUGUGUGUCCGUAAAGCAGCUACUCUAACGAUAUUAUCAAAAAUGUAAACUUGGAAAAAAACAAAAAAACAAGAAGAAAUUAACCAAUUAUUUGUUUUCUGAUUUUUUUCUUUGUUGCGACUCCAAAGAGAAAUUCACAGUUGUCACCAGAUAGAGAAACACUGCAGACAGCAGGACGUGUAACUGGUACAAAAAACCCUGAAAACACCGAGCUAAAGGUUAUACCAGUUUGUUCUUGUACUGCAUGUGACACCUUUCCAAAGCCACAACACAUGAAAAGACCAGAGUGAACAGUUCAUUAUUUAGUCAUCAAAAAGCGCGUUUAAAACAGGAGACUUCACAGUUUAAUUCCCAACACGCGGUACUUAAAGGAAAAAUACACCUUACUGACCUCUGAAAAACAAAAAUGCUGUUUUCUUCUGGCUUAAAAACAACAUUUAUUUUUCACGCCAGCAGCAGCGGCCAUUACAGCAGGAAGUGAAGGCUGAAGGAUGUGGACAGUUACUUUACCCAAGCAUCACAUUUCCUUCUUUAACAACAUAAAGUUUACUAGCUGUAGCAGCACAAAAAUAAAAG
This is a long non-coding RNA of Xiphophorus hellerii (green swordtail), 2597 nucleotides long. RefSeq lists it as uncharacterized. Lineage: Eukaryota; Metazoa; Chordata; Actinopteri; Cyprinodontiformes; Poeciliidae. The transcript has 2 exons. The record is from RefSeq and is a predicted model, not a curated record.